Molecule: ribosomal RNA, 492 nt
Filed under: uncultured bacterium
Lineage: Bacteria
Description: partial 16S ribosomal RNA
Rfam family: Bacterial small subunit ribosomal RNA
Source: RNAcentral
AGUGAACGCUGGCGGUAGGCCUAACACAUGCAAGUCGAACGGCAGCACAGUAAGAGCUUGCUCUUACGGGUGGCGAGUGGCGGACGGGUGAGGAAUACAUCGGAAUCUACUUUUUCGUGGGGGAUAACGUAGGGAAACUUACGCUAAUACCGCAUACGACCUACGGGUGAAAGCAGGGGAUCUUCGGACCUUGCGCGAUUGAAUGAGCCGAUGUCGGAUUAGCUAGUUGGCGGGGUAAAGGCCCACCAAGGCGACGAUCCGUAGCUGGUCUGAGAGGAUGAUCAGCCACACUGGAACUGAGACACGGUCCAGACACCUGCGGGAGGCAGCAGUGGGGAAUAUUGGACAAUGGGCGCAAGCCUGAUCCAGCCAUACCGCGUGGGUGAAGAAGGCCUUCGGGUUGUAAAGCCCUUUUGUUGGGAAAGAAAAGCAGCAGGUUAAUACCCCGCUGUUCUGACGGUACCCAAAGAAUAAGCACCGGCUAACUUCGUG